AAACAUUGAAUGCAGAUUACAUAUAACAUUCCGCCCGGGUACUACAAGCACGUAGCUUAAAACCCAAAGGACUUGGCGGUGCUUAACAUCCACCUAGAGGAGCCUGUUCUAUAACCGAUACCCCCCGUUAAACCUCACCCCCUCUCGAUACCCACAGCCUAUAUACCGCCGUCGUCAGCCCACCCUGUGAAGGUCUAACAGUAAGCAGAGUUGGCAUAGCCCAAUAAGCCAGGUCGAGGUGUAGCCAAUGAGGAGGAAAGAAAUGGGCUACAUUCGCUAUCCACAGCGAACACGAAUAACGUAUUGAAACAUACGAUUGAAGGAGGAUUUAGUAGUAAGCAGGAAAACAGAGCGUCCU
RNAcentral lists this ribosomal RNA (358 nucleotides) under Centropomus sp. WJC-2007. Its description in RNAcentral is "partial 12S ribosomal RNA". It matches the Rfam family "Bacterial small subunit ribosomal RNA", at positions 801 to 1360 of the family's 1533-position model. Lineage: Eukaryota; Metazoa; Chordata; Actinopteri; Centropomidae. The record is from RNAcentral.